CGCCCUCCCGAAGGUUAAGCUAAUGACUUCUGGUGCAGCCCACUCCCAUGGUGUGACGGGCGGUGUGUACAAGGCCCGGGAACGUAUUCACCGUGACAUUCUGAUUCACGAUUACUAGCGAUUCCGACUUCAUGGGGUCGAGUUGCAGACCCCAAUCCGGACUACGACGCACUUUAUGGGAUUCGCUUACCAUCGCUGGUUUGCAGCCCUUUGUAUGCGCCAUUGUAGCACGUGUGUAGCCCUACUCGUAAGGGCCAUGAUGACUUGAUAUCGUCCCCACCUUCCUCCGGUUUAUCACCGGCAGUCUCCUUAGAGUUCCCACCAUUACGUGCUGGCAAAUAAGGAUAAGGGUUGCGCUCGUUGCGGGACUUAACCCAACAUUUCACAACACGAGCUGACGACAGCCAUGCAGCACCUGUCUCAUAGUUCCCGAAGGCACCAAUUCAUCUCUGAAAAGUUCUAUGGAUGUCAAGAGUAGGUAAGGUUCUUCGCGUUGCAUCGAAUUAAACCACAUGCUCCACCGCUUGUGCGGGCCCCCGUCAAUUCAUUUGAGUUUUAACCUUGCGGCCGUACUCCCCAGGCGGUCUACUUAAUGCGUUAGCUUAAGAGCCCAGUUCUCAAGGAACCAAACUCCGAGUAGACAUCGUUUACGGCGUGGACUACCGGGGUAUCUAAUCCCGUUUGCUACCCACGCUUUCGCAUCUGAGCGUCAGUUACUUGCCAGGUGGCCGCCUUCGCCACUGGUAUUCCUUCAGAUCUCUACGCAUUUCACCGCUACACCUGAAAUUCUACCACCCUCUCAAGAACUCUAGUUUGCCAGUUCGAAAUGCAGUUCCCAGGUUGAGCCCGGGGCUUUCACAUCUCGCUUAACAAACCGCCUGCAUGCGCUUUACGCCCAGUAAUUCCGAUUAACGCUUGCACCCUCCGUAUUACCGCGGCUGCUGGCACGGAGUUAGCCGGUGCUUCUUCUGCGAGUAACGUCACAGUGAUAAAGUAUUAAUUUACCACCUUUCCUCUUCGCUGAAAGUACUUUACAACCCGAAGGCCUUCUUCAUACACGCGGUAUGGCUGCAUCAGGCUUUCGCCCAUUGUGCAAUAUUCCCCACUGCUGCCUCCCGUAGGAGUCUGGACCGUGUCUCUGCUCCAGUGUGG
Molecule: ribosomal RNA, 1152 nt
Filed under: Moritella marina
Lineage: Bacteria; Pseudomonadati; Pseudomonadota; Gammaproteobacteria; Alteromonadales; Moritellaceae
Description: partial 16S ribosomal RNA
Source: RNAcentral